GUCAAGUCUUCCCCAUCCAACUGCCAGGUUAAGAAGAUCUCAGCAGGGUAGAAGGCCAGGGCCCAGCAUCUCAGGGUAACAUCUCCUUUCUGUAUGCAGUGAUGGGUCACAUGUGUCUUUGGUGGGUCUGAGUGCAGCAGGGUGGCUUUCCCUAACUCCAAGUAUUUCUUCAGCCACUCUAUGCAAAGGCCCAGCAGGUACGCCCUCUGGUGGUGGGCCUCGCCCACGUCCUCUAAAUUGCGCUUAGAGAUCUGUGAGGCCAAGUCCUUUGUGGUCCAGGAGCGCAGGUCGUCAUUCAGGGCGAUGUAAUCCCGGCCAUCAUAGGCCUCCUGACAGUACCCGCGGAGCAGGCGGCCAUCCGGCCCCAGGUCGCAGCCGUACAUCCACUGCAGAGUGUGAGGGUCUGUGGGGGACACGGUGGUCAGCGCCACCUAACGGCCACCCCCAAACCCCCACCCUGGCUCUUAGUCCAUAAUUGACCUUUUCAAAACAACAACAACAACAACAACAACAACAACAACAACAACAACAACAAAACUUUACAAUGGAAACCGAAACCAAACUCUUCGGGUGUUUCCUGUUUGAGGAUCUUGGCAGGUGUUUGAAUGAAACUUCCACCCAGCAGGCCUGGAUGACCCAGGCGCGUCCCAGGGCCACCCCCCCCCCCCUCCGAUCACAGAAAGGUGGAGUCUGUGAUUGGUCAGUGGUCACUCACCAUUUUCACUCUGGUUGUAGUAGUGGAGCAGGGUCUGAAGGUUUAAUUUGAAGUUCUUCCCUGUGUUCCUGGCUUUUCGUGUCUCCUCCUCCCAAUACUCCGGCCCCUCCUGCUCCACCCAUGGCGCCCGCGGUUCUACCCUCAGAGUCUCCGAGUCGCUGUCGAAGUGCACGAACUGCGUGUCGUCCACGUAGCCGACGAUGAUGUACCGGGGCUCCCCGAGGCCGGGCCGGGACACGGCGGUGUGGAAAUACCGCAGCGAGUGCGAGCCUGGGGGCGGCGCGCGGUGAGACCCCGGAACCUAGUCCCGGCCCAGGGUUCCCGGUGAAGGCAGGGGAGACACCCGCCAGGGCAGCUAAGGUGAGCUGACGAGGUACCGCCCCCACCCGGCGCCCUGCUCCUUCCCGCAGAGUCCCUUUCGCUCCCCACCCCUCACUCACUAGCCUGGGUCUGGAUCAGAACUGUGGUCAGCAGCGUGAGCCAAGAAGCAGAAGACAUGGUCCUCACUCGUGGGGCCUGUGGACCUUGUUCCUGUUGACUGUGGAACUUUCAGCCUCCUUGUCGCUGAUUGGCUUCUGUAGAAACAAGGUGUCCAAUAGGAAUGAGAAUCGUGAGUGCAUCAUUGGUGUCCACAGAGAAGAACCUGAUCAGGGUUGAGAGACAAAUUGAAACUGUGCAUAUGGA
Molecule: non-coding RNA, 1399 nt
Organism: Peromyscus maniculatus bairdii (prairie deer mouse)
Lineage: Eukaryota; Metazoa; Chordata; Mammalia; Rodentia; Cricetidae
Source: RefSeq, a predicted model, not a curated record